Long non-coding RNA from Pongo abelii (Sumatran orangutan), 3552 nucleotides. NCBI's taxonomy places the organism in Eukaryota, Metazoa, Chordata, Mammalia, Primates, Hominidae. The record is from Ensembl.
UUCUGAAUUGCCAUGUUCUCUCUUGAUCUCUCGAAUCCAUUCCAAUCUGUUUUACCCCUACCAUUGCACUGAAACAGUUCUUGCCUUACUUUGCACUUAACUCAGUCAAUUUCUACCCCCUUGAAACAUUUUCUUCCCUUGACUUUAAAUAUCCAAUUUCUCUUGGUUCUUCUCCUGCCUGACUGCCCCCUCAUUCUCAGUCUUUGUUGGUUUCUUUUCCUCUCCAAGAUCUCAGGAUGUUGGUGCAUCCCACGGUUAAAUCCUCAGGACUCUUCUGUAAUUACUUUUCCUCUUGGGAGAUUUUCCUCUGAAAUUGUAUCUGCAUAGCUGACAUCUCCACUUGAAUAAUCCAAUAGUAUCUUAAACUUAAUGUGUCCUUUUAAAACAGAGCUCCUAAAACAAUAUCUGGUUUGCAUUAGACACUCAUUAAUUAAUGUUGACUCAAUGAAUGAUUGCUACUUUAAUCUAUUUUUUAAUGGAGGAAUUUAAAUUUUCUUCUCAUUAGAAAUCUUUCAGGAAGGAUUGGGAGCUGACAGUGUCAAAUGUGUUCAUUGAUAAAAACUUUCCAUGAAAGUUGUCUCUGUGGAAUUUGCAAUGCUGAAUAGAUUCCCCACUAGGGGGUAUGCAUGCACCACAUACAUUUCGAAAACAGUCGUGGUUAAGAAAAAUUGAGUGAUUAAUAAAAUAAAUAAGGGCUCUUGGAUGUAGCUGUUGUCUAAUUUUUCAUUUAUCUUGUUUGGAGGAAACUUUUUAAAGGUUACAUUUAUUUUGUAAAGAGAAUGAAAAUUUUCUAAAUGGAAAGAAUCAAAGAAAAAAUGUACUUAUUUUUAGUAUGUCUAAAUUAAAACAAAACUCACAAUUCACUUUUAGGCUGAAGAAUUACUUUAAAACCUGAAUGAUUCUCGGUUAUAGGCAUUAUUCUACACUCAGUUCAACUGACUAAUGUUUAUUGAACACUUAGUAUAUGGCAGGAGUAAGGAAAUAUCCCUACCUUUGAUAAGUUCACAGUCUAAUGGCGAAGACAGUCAUGGAAAUAUGAAGCAUAAUGCAACAGUAAGUACUAUAAGAAAGAUAAUUUAAAAGUGCUUUAAAAGCCUAGAAAGAAUGAAAUUAACUAUGGCGAGGGGUGCUGUCACUGAGAAGGAGACAUUCAGGUGUCCCAGACUAACUGCUUUUAUCCUAAUUGGGCCUCAAAAAUGUCUGUGUUGAUGGAUUUGAGUCCCUGUCUCUAGCAUGUGUGUUCUCCGUAUUAGCGAUCUGUAGACCCAAUAACGGCCACAGGGUAGUAUCUGGAUAUUUAUAUACAAUAUUCUUAGUACUACACUGUCUAAGCAUUCUGGUUUUCCUAGUCUUUUCUCACCCAAUUCUGGGGGCAAGGGACACCCAGAUAAUUAGUUUAGUUGAGUGAGGAAAUGGGGUACAAAUGUGAGAGACUGAAAAAUUUGGAGAAAUGAAAGAGUAGCCCUGUGGAAGUCCACUGCAGUGGGCAUGGGAGGCCAUCAGACCCCCAGUAGACAUGAUAUCAGCAUGCUUGACUGACUAGUGAGUUGCCAAUGAACCCUAUGGCUUAGGAAGCUUUAUUUGUGCUUCUUAAAGUACAUCUAGGUUGUCAGGGUAUGAUGAUUUAUUGGAAAACAAACUAUCCUAAGCUUAUGUCCUAUGGAGGGAUAUGUGUGGGUUUUCAUAGAUGGGAUUACGCAUACGCAUUUAGAUGAGCUAGAUGAGUACCUAGAGGGAAGAAGGGCUGAUAAAAAGACAGUAACUAUGCUGUAGGACUCCACAGCUCUUCUGCACUCCCCCAGAGCAGUUCUUAGAGCAGGAGAUUGCCAGCUGGAAACCUCAGAAAGCUGUAUUCUCAGGUGCCCUCACUGACAAUUUUAUGAGAAUGCUAUUGUAGGCAAUGAAAGUCUAGAUACGAAUUAGUACUUCUAAAUGCAGUAAUUUUUUAAAUGCAAGGAAUAAAAGGGAUAAAAACUAAAGACACGAUUUGAUUUAGAUGCCAACACUUUACUUACUGUCUCUGGUAUAACUGUCGAAGAGUGGGCAGGCAGCAGGAGGGAAGAAGGAAGCAACACCUUGAUAUGGCUUUUAAACACCAGAAAACUAAGGGCAGAACAAACAACAAAUUUAGAUGAAUAUUUAGAUAUUUUAUGAAUAUUUUGUGAAGCUAUAUCUUUAGCAUUUCUUUGUGAGAAAAUUAUGGAAAAGUAUACACUAGAUUUUGGCAUUUUUAUGAGGACACAAUUAUUUGUUAGUGAAGGUUAAAGGGAAACUGAAAGAAUUCCAGAUUGCUCUGUCAGGAUUUUGGAAUAACACAGCGAUAGAUGAAAUUUAAACUCAACAUAAGCAAAGUAAUGCUGCAGAAGCCGAGAUUUUCAAUAACUAUGUUUAUGCAUUGUGACAGCUUAUAAAUUAAAAACCUAGCAACUCUUAGGAAAUACACUCAGCCAUCACUAGGGAUAAUAUAAUAGAGGUGACUGUUCUAUAAAAAAGGGAGCUUGGACUUGAUGCUAUAUUGACAAUGAAGGAGGAAGUAAUUUAAAAAAUAGUAUUUUAAUGAUUAUUUGCUGUAUUUAUAUGUCACACAAUUUAAAAGUUGUUAUGGAAUAAACACUUGUUUCCUCCGAAAAAUUGGUGUGUUGAAAUCCUGCUCCCCAUUGUGAUGGCAUUAGGUGUGAGAGAGCAUCUCAUUGUGGCUUUGAUUUGCAUUUUCUCUGACGGUUAGGGAUGAUGAGCAUUUUUUCAUGUUUGCUGGCCACCUGUAUGUCUUCUGUUGAGAAGUGUCUGUUCAUGUCCUUUGCCAACUUUUUAAUGGGGUUAUUUGUUUCUUGCUUGUUCCUUCAUUUAAGUUAUAGAUUCUGAACAUUAGGCCUUUGUCAGAUGGGAGAGGGGAGAUGAUUCAGGAGAUGACUAAGUCAUGAGGGCAGAACCCUCCUGAAUGGGAUUAGUACCCUCAUAAAAGGGACCCCAGGCCAGGCGUGGUGGCUCACGCCUGUAAUCCCAGCACUUUGGGAGGCUGAGGCAGGUGGAUCACUUGAGGUCAAGAGUUUGAGGCCAGCCUGGCCAACAUGGUGAAACCUGGUCCCUACUAAAAACAAUACAAAAAUUAGGCAGGUGUGGUGGCAUGUGCCUGUAAUCCCAGCUACUUGGGAAGCUGAGGCAGGAGAAUCGCUUGAACCUGGGAGGUGGAGGUUGCAGUGAGCCAAGAUCGCGCCACUGCACUCCAGCCUGGGUGACAGAGCAAGACCCUGUCUCAAAAAAAAAAAAAAGAGACCCAGAGAGCUCUCUUACCCCCUUUGCCAGGUGAGGACACAGCAAGAUGGCUGUCUAUAAGCCAGGAAAUUGUCCCUCACCAGACGCUGAAUUUAGUGUUGCCUUGAUCUUGGUAAAUGUUUGUUGUUAAGCCACCCAGGCUAUGAUGUUUUUGUUAUGGCAUCCCAAAGGGACUGAAACAAGACAAAAGCAAAAACUAGAAGCUGUUGUGAAAUAUAAAUGGGCUACGUGCGAGCUGGUAAGAGUGUAGGUGGUAAAUCAUGUUGACUAGAGGUUUAA